RNAcentral lists this ribosomal RNA (591 nucleotides) under uncultured Terriglobales bacterium. Its description in RNAcentral is "bacterial SSU rRNA". It matches the Rfam family "Bacterial small subunit ribosomal RNA", at positions 892 to 1482 of the family's 1533-position model. The record is from RNAcentral. Lineage: Bacteria; Pseudomonadati; Acidobacteriota; Terriglobia; Terriglobales.
GGCUGAAACUCAAAGGAAUUGACGGGGGCCCGCACAAGCGGUGGAGCAUGUGGUUCAAUUCGACGCAACGCGAAGAACCUUACCCAGGCUCGAACGGCAAGUGACAUCCGGCGAAAGCCGGCUCCCGCAAGGGCAGUUGCCGAGGUGCUGCAUGGCUGUCGUCAGCUCGUGUCGUGAGAUGUUGGGUUAAGUCCCGCAACGAGCGCAACCCUUGUCCGCUGUUGCCAUCAGGUUAAGCUGGGCACUCUACGGAGACUGCCGGUGAUAAACCGGAGGAAGGUGGGGAUGACGUCAAGUCAGCAUGGCCUUUAUGUCUGGGGCUACACACGUGCUACAAUGGCAGGUACAAACCGUCGCGAUGCCGCAAGGUGGAGCUAAUCGGAGAAAACUUGUCUCAGUUCGGAUUGCAGGCUGCAACUCGCCUGCAUGUAGCUGGAAUCGCUAUUAAUCGCGGAUCAGCACGCCGCGGUGAAUACGUUCCCGGGCCUUAUACACACCGCCCGUCACAUCACGAAAGCCGGCUGUACUAGAAGUCGCCGCGUUAACCCGCAAGGGGGAUAAGCGCCUAAGGUAUGGUCGGUGAUUGGGGUG